GCUAUUUACGUGCCCGCGCCGCUGUAAUACGUAAGGUGCGAGCGUUAAUCGGAAUUACUGGGCGAAAAGCGUGCGCAGGCGGUUAUAUAUGACCGUUGUGAAAUCCCCGGGCUCAACCUGGGAAUUGCAUUUGUGACUGUAUAACUGGAGUACGGGAAAGGGGGAUGGAAUUCCGGGGUGUGCAGUGAAAUGCGUAGAUAUGCGGAGGAACACCGAUGGCAAAGGCAAUCCCCUGG
This 236-nucleotide ribosomal RNA is filed under the name uncultured bacterium. RNAcentral describes it as "partial 16S ribosomal RNA". It matches the Rfam family "Bacterial small subunit ribosomal RNA", at positions 496 to 732 of the family's 1533-position model. The record is from RNAcentral.